GCUACACAAAACUAUUUUGCGAGGAGAGGAGCAGCCACCUCUCCAGAGAUGUGAGGACUGCUGUUCCUUGUACCACUGUCCUUUCUGUGGGCCUGAAAUGUUCAAACCCGCCAUCAAAAGCAAAUGUUUAAAGCAUUUACAAGGUCACAGAAGAAGAGCGAUACGGCACAAGGAUCUUCAUCUGACUGCAUCUGAAGCUGGCAGUACUGAGGAGAUGCCUGUCGGCGAAGGACACAAGAAUCUGUUCUCUGAAGAUGCUCAGAAAAUCAGGAGAAGAAAAGCAAACUUUGAGCAACACUUGUGCCCUAAAAGGGCUGUUAGUGAGGAGACAGUGAGCCAGGGGCUCAGUGAUUCAGAGAUGGCAGACCAAAACUCCAGAGGUGAGUCUCAUCAAACAGAAAAUAUUCUGCAUAAUGCAGUUUGCUUGACUUGA
This 433-nucleotide long non-coding RNA is filed under the name Sinocyclocheilus grahami. RNAcentral's name for it is "lncRNA (ENSSGRG00000003945.1)". Lineage: Eukaryota; Metazoa; Chordata; Actinopteri; Cypriniformes; Cyprinidae. The record is from RNAcentral.